GGUCGUAUAGCUCAGUCGGUUAGAGCGCAGCAUUCAUAAUGCUGAUGUCGAAGGUUCGAGUCCCUCUACGACCACCA
This 77-nucleotide transfer RNA is filed under the name Comamonas sp. RNAcentral's name for it is "tRNA-Met". It matches the Rfam family "tRNA". From Rfam's summary of the family: Transfer RNA (tRNA) molecules are approximately 80 nucleotides in length. RNAcentral also lists the same sequence under 3 other names. Lineage: Bacteria; Pseudomonadati; Pseudomonadota; Betaproteobacteria; Burkholderiales; Comamonadaceae. The record is from RNAcentral.